RNAcentral lists this long non-coding RNA (1030 nucleotides) under Heterocephalus glaber (naked mole-rat). RNAcentral's name for it is "lncRNA (ENSHGLG00000035717.1)". Lineage: Eukaryota; Metazoa; Chordata; Mammalia; Rodentia; Bathyergidae. The record is from RNAcentral.
UAACAAAUGACUUGCGGAGAGUUCAGUACAUCCUGCCUAAAUAAGAUGUAACAAUCCAAGAACAACGAGGAACUGAGUAGAUGUUUUUUCCUCCCAGGAUGUUUUCAGCUGGUGUAGUAAUCUUGUCUAGAGAAUCACAGCAUCACCAGAUCAUUGAGGUCUCAGUUGUGACCAGAGGCUAAAAAGGGAACUAUGUCUGGGAAUUCCAUAGCUGGGCUGUAGGCAGAACUAGGCUAACCAAAUGAUUUUUCCCUAAAAUUAUGCAGCAUUGCUCCCGACAGUGGAUCCUGCCUGACCUGGGGAAAAGGGGAGGUGAUAGUGAACUAGUAAUUGCUGAGUCGCCCUCUUGUGUCUAACACAGUGCCAGCUGCUUUCUAGGAUUAGCACAGCCUCUGACAACUGAGUUCUUCCUGGUGCAGUCCUUGUGCUAAGUACUUCAUUCACUAUCUUUCUUAAGUGUCACAACAGUCCUAUCACGUACCUGCGAUUAUUACCUGUUUUUCCAGGUGAAUGUGAAGAUCAGGCUCCACAAAUAGUCCAUACUAGAGAGGAAUUUAAGCCCACCACGGAUUUCAAAGUCCACAUUCUUUACUACUGGACUAUUCUGUUUCCAUGUGCACAUUAACAGAGGAGAGGGCCAGGGAUUUACCUCAGUGGUUCUGCCACCUGCCUUGCAAAAGCGCAAGGUCCCAAGUUAGAUCCCACAGAAAAAGGGGCUCAGAGAGGUUAAGCAACCUACCCGAUGGCAGAACCAGGACUCAGAUCCAGAGCUGUCAAAGCCACAACUUAUGCGCCUUCUAUUGUCCUCUGCUUCCUUUGCCUACGGUCUCAGAGGAGCCAAAGGAUGUGGGAGCCACUUCACUGGUGUCCUGUAUCUGAAAGGGGGUGACUUAUAGGCAGCUCAUGCUGGGAACUCGGCCUUGGGAUGGUCAGGGAGGACAGGUGAACAGGAGGGACCUGGAGACUUUGAUUUGGGGUAGAGGCAGACCCCAGAGGGGCCAUCCUGCUGCCCAAAUACUGAGGUCAAGGG